Molecule: ribosomal RNA, 497 nt
Filed under: uncultured bacterium
Lineage: Bacteria
Description: partial 16S ribosomal RNA
Rfam family: Bacterial small subunit ribosomal RNA
Source: RNAcentral
GAUGAACGCUGGCGGCGUGCCUAAUACAUGCAAGUCGAGCGAACAGACGAGGAGUUUGCUCCUCUGACGUUAGCGGCGGACGGGUGAGUAACACGUGGAUAACCUACCUAUAAGACUGGGAUAACUUCGGGAAACCGGAGCUCACACCGGAUAACAUGUUGAACCGCAUGGUUCAACAGUGAAAGACGGUCUUGCUGUCACUUAUAGAUGGAUCCGCGCCGCAUUAGCUAGUUGGUAAGGUAACGGCUUACCAAGGCAACGAUCCGUAACCGACCUGGGAGGGUAAUCGCCCACACUGGAAGUGGGACACGGUUCAGACUCCUGCGAGAGGCAGCAGUAGGGAAUCGUCCGCAAUGUGCGCAGGCCUGACGGAGCAACGCCGCGUGUGUUAAGAAGGUCUUCGGAUCGUAAAGCACUGUUAGUAGGGAAGAACAAAUGGGUAAGUAACUAUGCACAGCGUGACGGUACCUAGUCAGAAAACCACGGCUAACUACGUG